This 465-nucleotide ribosomal RNA is filed under the name uncultured Neisseriaceae bacterium. RNAcentral's name for it is "bacterial SSU rRNA". It matches the Rfam family "Bacterial small subunit ribosomal RNA", at positions 338 to 795 of the family's 1533-position model. The record is from RNAcentral. Lineage: Bacteria; Pseudomonadati; Pseudomonadota; Betaproteobacteria; Neisseriales; Neisseriaceae.
CCUACGGGAGGCAGCAGUGGGGAAUUUUGGACAAUGGGGGCAACCCUGAUCCAGCCAUGCCGCGUGUCUGAAGAAGGCCUUCGGGUUGUAAAGGACUUUUGUUAGGGAAGAAAAGGGAAGUGCUAAUACCACUUUUUGCUGACGGUACCUAAAGAAUAAGCACCGGCUAACUACGUGCCAGCAGCCGCGGUAAUACGUAGGGUGCGAGCGUUAAUCGGAAUUACUGGGCGUAAAGCGAGCGCAGACGGUUACUUAAGCAGGAUGUGAAAUCCCCGGGCUCAACCUGGGAACUGCGUUCUGAACUGGGUAGCUAGAGUAUGUCAGAGGGGGGUAGAAUUCCACGUGUAGCAGUGAAAUGCGUAGAGAUGUGGAGGAAUACCGAUGGCGAAGGCAGCCCCCUGGGAUAAUACUGACGUUCAUGCUCGAAAGCGUGGGUAGCAAACAGGAUUAGAUACCCGUGUAGUC